Molecule: long non-coding RNA, 3075 nt
Organism: Gorilla gorilla gorilla (western lowland gorilla)
Lineage: Eukaryota; Metazoa; Chordata; Mammalia; Primates; Hominidae
Exons: 5
Source: RefSeq, a predicted model, not a curated record
GACAAACGAUCGUGGCAAACAGAAGGGGUGCAAAUCCUGAGUCCCAGUACCUACGAAUGAAACCCUGUUUGGACACAAUUUUUUUUUUUUCUUUUUUUGCAGGUGCAACUAGCUUAAGAUGAGAUAAUCCUGGAUUAGGGUGGGUCCUAAAUACAACGACAGAUGUCCUUCUAAAAGACAGAAGAGGAGACACAGACACAGAGGAGGAGGCCACGUGGAGAGGGAGGCAGAGACUGGAGUGAUGCGGCCACAAGCCCAGGGAUGCCUGGAGCCCCCAGGAGCUGGGAGAGGCAGGAAGGACCCUCCCCUAGAUUCCCUGGAGGGAAAUGGAUACAAUUGUAGUGGACUGAACUGUGGUUCCCCCAAAAGACAUGUUCAUGUCCUAAUCCCCAGAACCUGUGAAUGGGACCUUAUUUGGAAAAGGAAUCUCUGCAGAUGUAAUUGAAUGAAAGAUUUCAAGAUAAGAUCCUCUGGAAUUAUCUGGGUGGGCCAUAAAUCCAAUGACAGGUGUCCUUGUAAGAGACAGAAGAGGAGACACAGACACAGAGGAGGAGGCCACGUGGAGAUGGAGGCAGAGACUGGAGUGAUGGGGCCACAAGCACAGGGACACCUGGAGCCCCCAGGAGCUGGGAGAGGCAGGAAGGACCCUCCCCUAGAGCCUCUAGGGAAGGCUAAAUGAAAUUGUAAUGAAUUCAACUAUUGUCCACCAGAAAGAUAUGUCCACACCCUAACCCCCAGAACUUGUGAAUGGGAGCUUACUUUGAGAAAAGAUCUUUGCAGAUGCAAGUAGUAAAAUAUUUUAAGAUGAGAUCAUCCUGCAUUACAUGGACCAUGAAUCCAAUCAUUGCUGUCUCUAUAAGAGACAGAGGAGGAGAACAGACACAGAGGGUAAGGCCGCAUGGAGACGGAGGCAGAGACUGGAGUGAUGCGGCCACAAGCACAGGGACACCUGGAGCCCUCAGGAGCUGGGAGAGGCAGGAAGGACCCUCCAUGAGAGCCUCUGGAGGGAACUGGAUACAAGUGAAGUAGAUUGAACUGUGAUCCCCCAAAAAGGAACCCCAGGAAGCUCCUGAAGCAAUCCGCCCUUCCAUCUCUGUGUCUGGCAGACACUACUGUGUGAUUCCAGCGGGACAGCACCCACCACACUCACCUUCAUUGCUCAGGGGGAAGGAACAGUCAGUCAGCUGUGAGUCACCAGAAACCAAGAGCUUUCUUAAUUUAGUUGCAUCAGCUCUUCCCGGCAGCGUAUGGAUUUCCUGCAAAAGUGGCCUCAUGAUUUAGUUAGGGAAACAGCUCCAAGGAUGGGAGACGGCUGCGCUCCACAAUUUCCCUCCUGCAGCUAGGAAGGAAGUCAGUACUGUUCUGUGGGGCUACUAGGAAACAGCGCUUAAUCCGAAGUGGAAUCUAACAUCUGGGGAAUCAGCCGUAUUUGCCUGUGAGAAAGAAAGGGAGAAGCCAUUUUUACAUCAGCCCAUGGUCCAAGGAAUUCGACAGCGAAGACCCAAGAUACUUCCAAGAGAAAGGCACAGUCCAUUGAAGAUUCUUUAUAACCUCGGAAAGGCUGUGAAGGACUGGCAGAUAGUCAACCAUCCGUCCAAGCUCCAUUCCACCUCUUGGCUUGAGCUUGGCUUGAGGAAUCCCUCCACCAUGUCACUUUACAGACUUCUGGUAGAAUCCGGGAACAUUCCACUGACCUUGCAUUUUUUCCUCCUGCUGAGUCAUGUGACUCACCAAGUCCUGGGCCAACCAAAAUGGCCAAGGCCACAGGGAGCAUGGACCAGGCCACCCAUGAGACUAUCAUGGGCAGGUACUCUUUCUCAAGCAUCUAAUUUUUUUUUCCUGCCUCCUUUUGACCUAACCAUGUUUCUCACUGCCAUUUGCUCAUCUCUGCUUUGGACAGCUUCUGACCCAUUGCUCAGACAAUAAUAUGGUUCUUUUUUUUUUGGAUGGAGUCUUGCUCUGUUUCCGGGCUGGAGUGCAGUGGCAUCAUCUCGGCUCACUGCAACCUCCGCUUCCUGAGUUCAAGUGAUUCUCCUGCCUCAGCCUCCCAAGUAGCUGGGACGACAGGCACGGGCCACCAUGCCUGGCCAAUUUUUAUGUUUUUUUUAGUAGAGACGGGGUUUCACCAUGUUGGCCAAGAUGGUCUCGAUCUCUUGACCUCCUGAUUCUCCCACCUCGGCCUCCCAAAGUGCUGGGAUUACAGGCGUGAGCCACCAUGCUCAGACAAUAAUAUGGUUCUUUCUCCUUUCCCACAGAGAUCACCUCCCAGCUUGGACCAAUCAUUUGGGCCCCAGGUAGAGGCCUCUAGGUCUAUAGCUGCGGGUUUGGAGUGAUGAAGCUUCCCUGGUAGAUAGACAAAGCUCCCAGGACCAUCCUGAGACACACUGAUGUUCCCCUGGCUCUCUGAAGCCUCUGUCACAAUUCCUCCAGCUGAGCUAGCUCUCCAUACCUCUGGCCACCCCAUAGCAACCCUCAGUUCCCCCAGACGCUCCCUACUCAAAGUGUGGUCUAUGGACCAGUGGUAUUCGCGUCACUGGGUACCUUACUAGACAUUCAGCAUCUCAGGCUUCCCUAGAUCCACUGAGUGAGAAUUCCAGUUUCACAAGCACAAGGAAGGUUUGAGAGCCGCCAUGCUGGCCAUCCUGCCCAUGGUGGGAGACAGCUGUUUAAUCCUAUCAAGGAAUCCGAGAUGGUGGUUAGUUGUGUAACCUGUUUCUUGCUCUUCUGACAGAAUUCCCGCAGUGGCCCACGCCUGUAAUCCCACCACUUUGGGAGGCCGAGGUGGGCGGAUCCCUUGAGGUCAGGAGUUUGAGACCAGCCUGGCCAACAUGGCGAAACCCCAUCACUGCUAAAAAAUACACAAAUUAGCUGGGCAUGGAGUCUGAGGCAGGAGAAUCUUUUGAACCUGGGAGGCGGAGGUUGCGGCGAGCCAAAAUCAUGCCACUGCACUCUAGCCUGGGCAAGAUACUAAGACUCUAUCUCAAAAAUAAUAAUAAUAAUAAAAUAAAUAAAUAAAUGCACACACUUCCUUUACAAAACCCUCUAGUGUGCAAGUCCAGCCACAGACAGAAAGGC